Melanotaenia boesemani (Boeseman's rainbowfish) is the source of this 716-nucleotide non-coding RNA. Lineage: Eukaryota; Metazoa; Chordata; Actinopteri; Atheriniformes; Melanotaeniidae. The record is from the annotation of a RefSeq genome assembly.
UCACCAUGAGAGCUGUACAAAGUGUUUUCAUCUUGGCUCUAAUUUCAGCUGCUCGGGGUCAGUCCCUCACCUCCUCUGAGCCAGUGGUCCACAGACCAGGAGAAUCAGUCACUCUGUCCUGUGAAGUACAAGGACUUUCUCUUGCUUAUCUGCACUGGAUCCGACAGAAACCAGGAAAAGGACUAGAAUGGAUCGGAUACAUUGAUAGUGGGACUGGCACAAGAUUUGCCCAAAGUCUCCAAGGCCAGUUUUCCAUCACCAAAGACUCUUCCCAGAAUCGUGUGUUUUUGACAGUGAAGAGUCUCAAACAAGACGAUUCUGCAGUUUAUUAUUGUGCAAAAGAGCCACAGUGACACAAGAAGCAGAAACACAGAACAAAAACUGAUCAACACUCGUGUGUGUGUGUGUGUGAGAGAGACAGUGAAGCGAUUCAGUGUUUAAAAACAUCUCAUCUUAAAUCCUAAUUUAACAAUGGAUCAUGUUACAAACAGUGUGAGUUUUAUAGUUUACUUCACUGUAUUUGUAAGAAAACAACUUUACUGCAAACAUAAUAAACAUGAAUUUAUUUGUAGUAAAACCAACCUGUUAGUACCAGAAAACCGAGCAGCCCUGGAGUUAACUAGCUAGAUGAAAACAUUUUUAAGCUUUAUGACAGAAACUCAAAACAAUCUUUAUUUUAUUAUGCAUGAAAUUCAAUUUUAGCCUAAUAAUUUUUC